This 467-nucleotide ribosomal RNA is filed under the name uncultured bacterium. RNAcentral's name for it is "partial 16S ribosomal RNA". It matches the Rfam family "Bacterial small subunit ribosomal RNA", at positions 28 to 506 of the family's 1533-position model. The record is from RNAcentral.
GACGAACGCUGGCGGCGUGCUUAACACAUGCAAGUCGAACGGAAGGGCCCUGCUUUUGUGGGGUGCUCGAGUAGCGAACGGGUGAGUAACACGUGAGUAACCUGCCCUUGACUUUGGGAUAACUUCAGGAAACUGGGGCUAAUACCGGAUAGGAGCUCCUGCUGCAUGGUGGGGGUUGGAACGUUUCGGCGGUUGGGGUUGGACUCGCGGCUUAUCCGCUUGUUGGUGGGGUAGUGGCUUACCAAGGCUUUGAGGGGUAGCCGGCCGGAGAGGGUGACCGGCCAGACUGGGUCGGAGUUACGGCCCAGCCACACACGGGAGGGAGGAGUGGGGAAUAUUGAAUAAUGGGCGGAAGCCUGAUGCAGCAACGCCGGGUGCGGGAUGACAGCCUGCGGGUGGUAAGCCGCUUUCGCUUGGGACGAAGGGUGAGUGACGGUAAUGGGUAAAGAAGCACCGGCUAACUACGU